RNAcentral lists this long non-coding RNA (2349 nucleotides) under Homo sapiens (human). RNAcentral describes it as "HSALNT0225839". Lineage: Eukaryota; Metazoa; Chordata; Mammalia; Primates; Hominidae. The record is from RNAcentral.
CAUCUCACGGGCUGCCAGGGAGCGGGGUUGGCUACUCCUGCAACCAGCGUGAAGAGGGUCUCAGGGGAGGCUGUGGUGGGAUCCCCCACGUGCCCUUGUUCCUCUCACCGUUACCUCUGGAUGCCUCGGGGCAAAGGCCUUCUUCCACCUAUAGACAGAGUCUACGCAGGGGUCUUGGAACCCGGGCACACCAGUCCCCAGCUAACGAAAUCCCCGAGUUGGGGGAUUUGAGAGGGUCACGUUUGGCCCAAGAACCCGCAGUCCUCUUUGGUCUUCGGCCCUCUAUUUCUAAGCGUGGGCUUCUGGCACGGCGGCUCUGGGCACAGCCCAUGCUGCUUUCGGGCUGGGUGGUUUCAACGACGACAACAAUUAUCACAGUGACGGUGACCUUCACCCCAACAGGACUGCUGUGUGUGAAGCACUCAAGAGGGCCCCUACAACCAACCUGCCAGGAGUCGGCUCCUGAAAACAGGGUCGGAAAAGAUCUCAGUCCUCUAUCUGUGAAACGGAAUUCGGCCUUGCCUGUCCACGAAAUGAAGACAAGGCAUCUCGUGUGUGUUAAGAUGAAACAAGAUCUUAGCAAGAGAGUAAUGAUUUCUUUUUUAAAACAUUUUUUACUGUAGUAAAAUGUACUAUAACGUAAAAUUACCAUUUCAAUCAUUUGUAAGUUCAGUGGCAUUAAGUACAUUCACAUUGUCGGGCAGCUGUCAGAGGUGUUCGAACCAGAGCGACUCCAUCUUGAACAGGUGCUGCGCAAAAUGAGGCUGAGACCUGCUGGGCUGCAUUCCCAGGAGGUUAGGCAUUCUUCGUCACAGGAUGAGUCAGUGGCUGCCAGGGAGGCAGGGGUCUGGCACUCUUCCUCAUGCUUACGAGAUGGCUGCUGGAAUUCCAGGAAUCACAUGCAAAUUCUAGUCAGGAGCAAAGAGGAAGAGACACAGUGAAAAGGGGUAUACAGCGGCAGAAGGAAGCUCCUCAAAUGAACUCUGCUAGAACUCUAGCCAGUAGCUUCUCCUUCUAUCACAGUGGCCAGAACUGUGACAAGUGACCAUCCUUAGGGGAAAAAAGAUGCUGAGAAAUGUGAAUUUUGUUGCCACCUUACAUUUUCAAAGGAGUUCCAUUCGUAAGUACAGAACGCUCAGAGAAGAGGCAGCAGAUCUAGGAUAUGGAGCAGCAGCUCUUAAGGGCACAGUGGGAAGGUUUCAAGACUGAGGAGGAUCUUGGAUUUGGGUAGGGGAAGGCAGUUCACAGUAUUGUGGAGGAAAUGCUGUGAAAGAGAAAGUGGAAGGCAUGGAAGCUUAAACUUUUAAUAUGACUGGUGAAUACAAGGAUGAAGGGCAAAGGGAAUUCAGACUCAUGGUGGUCAGAUUAAGACCUUCAGCGGCUCUGUCUCCCAGCCCCACAUACCCACUUCCAUGUUCUGCUCUUUACUGAAGCUGAAAGUCUGCAACCUUCAUUCUCUGACUCCCUUACAUUUUCUUAGGCUUCUUGCUAGCUUCUGCCAAAAAGAGGCCCUGGCAGGAGAUUAGAUGGCAGGAGGCAGAGGUAAGGAUUCCAUGUUAACAGGUGCUGGAAGUUGCUGGUGUGGCAAUGAGAACUGGGCCCCGGUCAAGGCAGCACUACUUUGGUAGAUCCAGAAUCAACCAUGAUAACCGUGACAGUGUCUUCAACAGUGCAGCAGUAGACACAGGCCCCUGGUGCUGGAAUCCAAUACAGGGACAGGAGCAGCACGGAGUCACGGAACACCGUCUUGCCUUCAUGUCACUUUACCAUUUCUUCUUUCUCCCUCUUACUCUACCAGCUACCUGUGGAGAUGUUGAACCUUUUAUCUGUCGCUGUCUGCUUAGGAACAGAAGAAAAGGCAGCUGAUUGCUUGACUCAGCUUUCAGCUUGAUUUUUUUCCUUUGGCAGAGUGAAUUGGGGUCCCAGGUGUUCAUUUUCCUUUUGUAGUACCUUUCCUCAGCAUGCAAUUAAUACAAAAAGAACAAUAAACCUUAACAAAGUUUGGCUUGUAUUAUUCCAGACUUUCCUCUUGGAUUUUAUGUACACUUAUCUGAAUCCAUGCAGAUCAUGUCAUGUGUGUCUGUGUGUUUAUACACAUUUUUUUUUCGGUGUGCCUCAUUCUGCAACUUGAUUUUUUAAAAAAUUCGAUAACUGAUCUUGGAGAUCUGUCCAUGUUGUUACAUAUAUGAGAUUUUUGUAUUUCCUUUAAUUAAUGGUGUUCAAGUAGCCGUUUAUGUAACGAUGAACAUUCAGGUUUUUGCAAUUUUUUGCUCUUAAUAAGGUGCCCUGGUGAACAAACAUUCUUGUACAUGUGCCAGAGUUUCUCUGGAGUAAUUAACCAGCGUGGAA